GCUGAUAUGGCCGAGUCGUUAAGGCGAGUGAUUUGAAUCGCGUAUUCGUGUCGUCAUCACUUGGGCAUUGCCCGCGUAGGUUCAAAUCCUGCUGUCAGCG
This is a non-coding RNA of Multifurca ochricompacta, 100 nucleotides long. The record is from the annotation of a GenBank genome assembly. NCBI's taxonomy places the organism in Eukaryota, Fungi, Basidiomycota, Agaricomycetes, Russulales, Russulaceae.